RNAcentral lists this long non-coding RNA (237 nucleotides) under Homo sapiens (human). RNAcentral's name for it is "HSALNT0393849". The record is from RNAcentral. Lineage: Eukaryota; Metazoa; Chordata; Mammalia; Primates; Hominidae.
CGCUGAGAUUCCGGGCCCGGCGGCCGCGGGGAGCGGGUGUCCGUGAGGAGCCGGGCAGCCGGCCUCCUCUCUUUGCCUUUUGGGGGUUCUUUUUGUAAUAGCAGCAGACUAGAAAAGCGAGCCGGCUUGGAGGGAGUCCGCCCGGGGAUCCGAGCGCGCAUUCAUCAGUGUCGAGAGAAAAAAAGCUACAUAAAUAUAUAUUAUGUGGAUAAAUCUAUAGACAAGAGCUCUCUCGCG